RNAcentral lists this ribosomal RNA (508 nucleotides) under uncultured bacterium. RNAcentral's name for it is "partial 16S ribosomal RNA". It matches the Rfam family "Bacterial small subunit ribosomal RNA", at positions 30 to 523 of the family's 1533-position model. The record is from RNAcentral.
AUUGAACGCUGGCGGCAUGCCUAACACAUGCAAGUCGAACGGCAGCAUAAGUGAGGGUAACCUUACUUGAUGGCGAGUGGCGGACGGGUGAGUAAUAUGUAGGAAUCUACCUAGAGGAGCGGGAUAACUUGGGGAAACUCAAGCUAAUACCACAUAAUCCCCACGGGGGAAAGCAGGGGACCUUCGGGCCUUGCGCCUUAUGAUGAGCCUACAUCGGAUUAGCUUGUUGGUGGGGUAAAGGCCUACCAAGGCGACGAUCCGUAGCUGGUCUGAGAGGAUGAUCAGCCACACUGGAACUGAGACACGGUCCAGACUCCUACGGGAGGCAGCAGUGGGGAAUAUUGGACAAUGGGCGCAAGCCUGAUCCAGCAAUGCCGCGUGUGUGAAGAAGGCCUUAGGGUUGUAAAGCACUUUCAGUGGGGAGGAAGUUUGUGGUGCUAAUAUCAUCAUAAAUUGACGUUACCCACAGAAGAAGCACCGGCUAACUCUGUGCCAGCCGCCGCAGUAA